This is a long non-coding RNA of Aedes albopictus (Asian tiger mosquito), 492 nucleotides long. RefSeq lists it as uncharacterized. Lineage: Eukaryota; Metazoa; Arthropoda; Insecta; Diptera; Culicidae. The transcript is spliced from 2 exons. The record is from RefSeq and is a predicted model, not a curated record.
AUGUUUCUGCGUGUAGCUUUUUGAUCUGCAAGUGCUGCCAUCAUUCACUGUUGGUUCAAUUUCAGAGCUGCCGAAGUCGUUUUUCGUUUUGAGUGGCCGAGGAAAUCUCCAACUGUCGAUCGAUGGCUACGUGUUCACGCAAGAGCUGGUCAAGAACAACGACAUAGAUUGGGCUUGUUCGCAAUCAAAAGUUUUGCGCUGUAAAGUUCGCGCGACGACAUCUCGUGAAAAAGAUCGCAAAGUGCUCUCAAUUCGAGGCGAACACAAUCACGGGAUAAUUACUGAACGUCGGAAAAACGGUGCCUUGAAGGCUCUGCUGGAACAACGCAAGAAAGAGCGCGAUGAUCGACGAAUGAGAUUGGGUGGAGUCUUUUCAUCAGUAAUCUAGAUAACUGUAUUGAUUAAAUGAAUACUACACGAUAAUAAUGAAUUGCUAGAUUAUAAUUUGAGUGGAGUAAUAGAUUUGUUGGAGGUUUCACCUCUACUUACUUA